GGCCUCCUAGUGCUUAUGACAGGCUGUGUUCUUACACUGACUGUACAGAAAAAGGAGAUAGACUAAACCUACCCCACAUACACCUCAUGCCAGGUCCUGUGCUUAGUCUAUAUUGUGAAUGGGAGACAUGG
Molecule: small nucleolar RNA, 131 nt
Filed under: Castor canadensis (American beaver)
Lineage: Eukaryota; Metazoa; Chordata; Mammalia; Rodentia; Castoridae
Description: Small nucleolar RNA SNORA51 (ENSCCNG00000010753.1)
Rfam family: Small nucleolar RNA SNORA51
About the family: ACA51 is a member of the H/ACA class of snoRNA that guide the sites of modification of uridines to pseudouridines.
Source: Rfam by way of RNAcentral